Molecule: ribosomal RNA, 448 nt
Filed under: uncultured bacterium
Lineage: Bacteria
Description: bacterial SSU rRNA
Rfam family: Bacterial small subunit ribosomal RNA
Source: RNAcentral
AACGAACGCUGGCGGCAUGCCUAACACAUGCAAGUCGAACGGGAUCCUAGCUUGCUAGGUGAGAGUGGCGGACGGGUGAGUAACACGUGGGAAUCUGCCUUUUGGUUCGGGAUAACCGCGGGAAACUGCGGCUAAUACCGAAUGCCCUCGAGAGAGGAAAGAUUUAUCGCCAGAAGAGGAGCCCGCGUCCGAUUAGGUAGUUGGUGGGGUAAAGGCCUACCAAGCCGACGAUCGGUAGCUGGUCUGAGAGGAUGAUCAGCCACACUGGGACUGAGAUACGGCCAGACUCCUACGGGAGGCAGCAGUGGGAACAUUGGACAAUGGGGGCAACCCUGAUCCAGCAAUGCCGCGUGAGUGAUGAAGGCCUUAGGGUUGUAAAGCUCUUUUGCCAGGGAAGAUGAUGACUGUACCUGGAGAAUAAGCCCGGCUAACUUCGUGCCAGCAGCCG